This 301-nucleotide unclassified non-coding RNA is filed under the name Hevea brasiliensis (rubber tree). Lineage: Eukaryota; Viridiplantae; Streptophyta; Magnoliopsida; Malpighiales; Euphorbiaceae. The record is from RNAcentral.
UAAAAUUUUAGCGAUAAUUAACAGAAUAAUCACCCAACCCAAGCAUGAUUGAGUGGCCAGCAUUACGUGGCGAGGGCUCUGCACGUUGGCGCGGAGCGCUUUUGAUUAUUUUGAUUGAACGAUGUUUGAAGUUAUUUUGGCGGACUGAUUGUUAUGAAUGUGAUCGUCACACCACCAUCUGCAAUGAUUAUUGCUUUCGUGCCGCGCCGUAGGCGGUCUGUGGUGGGUAUUGCCAUUCGAAGCGAAUUUCUGUUGAGGCCAUCAUCCGAUGUAAUGAUUGUGCCCGCCAAUAGCUAUCAUG